UAAACGCGAAUUGUCGGGUGUCCACCACCCCUUCUGGGGGUGGAGAUCUGCGCCCCGACGUCCUUUUGAUUAUAUCCCAUCUGUGAACUUUUCCACUGUUGCUUCCGUGAGCCUGUGCUUUGCUCUCUUUUUUGAGAGUGGGAGUACCUGAAAAGCCCUGGUUCUGCCAGGGGCGCACGGCAAUGGUACCACAACUCUGGUUUUAUGUUGUUCAAGUCUGAGUGGUUAACACACAAACAAGUUAAAACUUUCAACAACGGAUCUCUUGGUUCU
RNAcentral lists this unclassified non-coding RNA (273 nucleotides) under rhizosphere metagenome. Its description in RNAcentral is "partial ribosomal RNA internal transcribed spacer region". The record is from RNAcentral.